RNAcentral lists this unclassified non-coding RNA (419 nucleotides) under Hevea brasiliensis (rubber tree). The record is from RNAcentral. Lineage: Eukaryota; Viridiplantae; Streptophyta; Magnoliopsida; Malpighiales; Euphorbiaceae.
GAACAACAUUAAGAAGAGCAUGACCAGCAGCAUGUAAGCCUCCUCGGAAUGAAUAAUUUAAGGUCUCUACAGCUGUCUUUAUGGUCUGAGGAACUUGAAUCCAGACAGCCUGGGUUUCAUAUGUGUAAUUAGGAAGUGAAAGUUCAACAGUGUCAAAGACUUGGUUGCUCUUUUUCCAUAUUUUGCGGAAACCAAACCACGUGGUCGUUACUCUGCAACUUUGUGCUUGGGCAGUUGUUCUUGGAAGUUGCAGACUAGUAGUCCUUGCUGGGUAAGCAAAGUUGGCACCAGUAACUUCGACAUCAGUGUAGUCACGUGUUUUGGUAUAAUAUUUCAAGUCCGCUCGUUGGCACCAAGCAAUUCUGUUUGUCACAUCAAGCUCCUUCACAAGAUACGUUUUCCCCUGAUUCAUAUAAUUA